UUUACCCGAAGCUGGUGCGCUAACCCGUAAGGGAGGCAGCCAACCACGGUAAGGUCAGCGACUGGGGUGAAGUCGUAACAAGGUAGCUGUAGGUGAACCUGCAGAAGGAUCA
RNAcentral lists this ribosomal RNA (112 nucleotides) under uncultured eukaryote. RNAcentral's name for it is "partial small subunit ribosomal RNA". It matches the Rfam family "Bacterial small subunit ribosomal RNA", at positions 1416 to 1525 of the family's 1533-position model. The record is from RNAcentral.